This 247-nucleotide ribosomal RNA is filed under the name uncultured bacterium. Its description in RNAcentral is "partial 16S ribosomal RNA". It matches the Rfam family "Bacterial small subunit ribosomal RNA", at positions 89 to 334 of the family's 1533-position model. The record is from RNAcentral.
AGUAAAGUGGCGACCGGGUGAGUAACACGUGAUUAACCUACCUUCGAGUGGGGAAUAACUUCGGGAAACCGAAGCUAAUACCGCAUAACAUCCCAAGGACGAGAAGCCCAGGGAUCAAAGGAGCAAUUCGCUUGAAGAGGGGGUCGCGGCUGAUUAGCUAGUUGGCGGGGUAACGGCCCACCAAGGCGAAGAUCGGUAGCCGGCCUGAGAGGGCGCACGGCCACACUGGAACUGAAACACGGUCCAG